AUGGUGACCACGCCAGUACUCGCACUCCCAGACUUCGACAAGCCAUUCGUGAUUGAGACGGACGCUUGCGACACUGGCAUUGGCGCGGUGCUGGUACAAGAAGGCCACCCGAUCGCUUACUACAGCAAAGCGCUGGGGGUGAAGAAUCAGAAAUUGUCAACAUACGAGAAGGAGUUCUUGGCAGUGAUGAUGGCAGUGGACAAGUGGCGUUCUUACCUUCAGCGUGGGCCAUUCAAAAUUCUCACAGAUCACAAAAGCUUGUGCUCUUUGGGCGAUCAGCAGUUGGUGACCGAUGUUCAGCGCCGCGCAAUGUCGAAGUUGGUUGGACUGCAGUUCAAGUUUCAGUAUAAACGCGGCAUUGACAAUGGCGCAGCAGAUGCGCUAUCUCGA
RNAcentral lists this ribosomal RNA (390 nucleotides) under Triticum aestivum (bread wheat). RNAcentral's name for it is "partial small subunit ribosomal RNA". The record is from RNAcentral. Lineage: Eukaryota; Viridiplantae; Streptophyta; Magnoliopsida; Poales; Poaceae.